Chrysemys picta bellii (western painted turtle) is the source of this 527-nucleotide long non-coding RNA. RefSeq lists it as uncharacterized. The record is from RefSeq and is a predicted model, not a curated record. NCBI's taxonomy places the organism in Eukaryota, Metazoa, Chordata, Testudines, Emydidae.
UCGGAGUUUUCCAUGGGAAAGUGAACUGUUCGGUGGGAAAAAUCAAGACGGCGUCUCCGAAUUGCCAACUGGGAAGGCUCUUGUCAAUCUCACUCCUGCCUGAGGCAAGGAAGCGAACUUGACAAGCGCCUUUCAGGCAGCAGCGGAAAAGCCCCGCGCAGGUUCUCCAGAGACGCACGUUCCUGGCAGCCCUUUCCCGGGUUUCACAUUUUGACCUGAUCGGGGGAAGGAAAAACGUUCAAGCGUGAGGCUCUCCGGCGGCAGGAGGGGGGAUCUCCAGGGCGCAGCCAGCUCCAGCAAAGCGCUGCCGCGGAGACCAGCGCGGGCCGGGAGUGCGGCGGCAGAGCGAUCCACGAGACUGAGCUUCAGCAGCGAGCCGAUGCACCUCACGGAGCGGGACGCACCUAAAGGAGAUCAGUGCCUGGAUGAAAAGCAGCCAUCUGAAACUAACCUCUGAGGAAAUGGAAGUGACAGUGGGAAAGUGAGUCUCUUUGAAAAUCUACCCAAAACCUGCUCAUCAGCCUCAG